AGUAACACGUGAUUAACCUACCUUCGAGUGGGGAAUAACUUCGGGAAACCGAAGCUAAUACCGCAUAACAUCCCAAGGACGAGAAGCCCAGGGAUCAAAGGAGCAAUUCGCUUGAAGAGGGGGUCGCGGCUGAUUAGCUAGUUGGCGGGGUAAUGGCCCACCAAGGCGAUGAUCAGUAGCCGGCCUGAGAGGAUGAUCAGCCACACUGGGACUGAGACACGGCCCAG
This 227-nucleotide ribosomal RNA is filed under the name uncultured bacterium. RNAcentral describes it as "partial 16S ribosomal RNA". It matches the Rfam family "Bacterial small subunit ribosomal RNA", at positions 109 to 334 of the family's 1533-position model. The record is from RNAcentral.